RNAcentral lists this ribosomal RNA (405 nucleotides) under uncultured bacterium. Its description in RNAcentral is "partial 16S ribosomal RNA". It matches the Rfam family "Bacterial small subunit ribosomal RNA", at positions 30 to 526 of the family's 1533-position model. The record is from RNAcentral.
AUUGAACGCUGGCGGCAGGCUUAACACAUGCAAGUCGAGCGAGUGGCGGACGGGUGAGUAAUGCUUGGGAAUCUAGCUUAUGGCGGGGGAUAACUCCGGGAACCGGUAGCUAAUACGGCGUACCUGAGGAUUAGCCCAGGUGGGAUUCGGUAGUUGGUAAGGUAAAGGCUAACCAAGCCGACGAUCUCUAGCUGGUCUGAGAGGAUGACCAGCCACACUGGGACUGAGACACGGCCCAGACUCCUACGGGAGGCAGCAGUAGGGAAUCUUGCGCAAUGGGCGAAAGCUGAUGCAGCAAUGCCGCGUGUAUGAAGAAGGUCUUCGGGUUGUAAAGUUCUUUUAGUCGGGAAGCGGUACCUACACAAAAAGCACCGGCUAACUCCGUGCCAGCAGCCGCGGUAAUAC